RNAcentral lists this ribosomal RNA (304 nucleotides) under uncultured bacterium. RNAcentral describes it as "partial 16S ribosomal RNA". It matches the Rfam family "Bacterial small subunit ribosomal RNA", at positions 506 to 809 of the family's 1533-position model. The record is from RNAcentral.
CAGCAGUAGCCGCGGGAAUACGAAGGGGGCUAGCGUUGUUCGGAUUUACUGGGCGUAAAGCGCACGUAGGCGGACUUUUAAGUCAGGGGUGAAAUCCCGGGGCUCAACCCCGGAACUGCCUUUGAUACUGGAAGUCUUGAGUAUGGUAGAGGUGAGUGGAAUUCCGAGUGUAGAGGUGAAAUUCGUAGAUAUUCGGAGGAACACCAGUGGCGAAGGCGGCUCACUGGACCAUUACUGACGCUGAGGUGCGAAAGCGUGGGGAGCAAACAGGAUUAGAUACCCCAGUAGUCCCUGUCUCUUAUAA